GCCCGCGUGGCGCAAUGGUUAGCGCGUCAGACUUUUACGGCACAGUCGGAAAUCUGAAUGUUGCGAGUUCGAGUCUCGCCGUGGGCG
Non-coding RNA from Cladorrhinum sp. PSN332, 87 nucleotides. The record is from the annotation of a GenBank genome assembly. Lineage: Eukaryota; Fungi; Ascomycota; Sordariomycetes; Sordariales; Podosporaceae.